Molecule: ribosomal RNA, 305 nt
Filed under: uncultured bacterium
Lineage: Bacteria
Description: bacterial SSU rRNA
Rfam family: Bacterial small subunit ribosomal RNA
Source: RNAcentral
UUUCCUACGGGACGCAGCAGUGGGGAAUAUUGCACAAUGGGGGAAACCCUGAUGCAGCGACGCCGCGUGAGUGAAGAAGUAUCUCGGUAUGUAAAGCUCUAUCAGCAGGAAAGAUAAUGACAGUACCUGACCAAGAAGCCCCGGCUAACUACGUGCCAGCAGCCGCGGUAAUACGUAGGGGGCAAGCGUUAUCCGGAUUUACUGGGUGUAAAGGGAGCGCAGGCGGCGUGGCAAGUCAGAUGUGAAAACCCGGGGCCCAACCCCGGGAGUGCAUUUGAAACUGCCAUGCUGGAGUGCCGGAGAGG